UUGCGUAUAUGGUCAUUCAAACCUGCAUAAAACCAAUACAAACACACACUAAUACAUCCAUUUAACCAGCCAUAAUACCAUACAAACUAUUCCAUAUGAAAAGGACACUUUGCUAAGCCUUACAAACCUAUGUAAUCAUCAACCACUCAACAAGACAUAUCAAUCAUCUUAACACUUCAAACUCAACUAAAACAUGUCAUGUAUUAACUUCCUAAUCAUCUUACCAAUAUGUCUCAUUGGCACCGUUUCACAACAAGGUU
This 260-nucleotide long non-coding RNA is filed under the name Gossypium barbadense (sea-island cotton). Its description in RNAcentral is "long non-coding RNA (GBAR_LNC019205)". The record is from RNAcentral. Lineage: Eukaryota; Viridiplantae; Streptophyta; Magnoliopsida; Malvales; Malvaceae.